Acanthosepion pharaonis is the source of this 115-nucleotide non-coding RNA. NCBI's taxonomy places the organism in Eukaryota, Metazoa, Mollusca, Cephalopoda, Sepiida, Sepiidae. The record is from the annotation of a GenBank genome assembly.
UUCCGGCCAUACCACGUUGAAACACCGGUUCUCGUAAGAACAUCGAAGUGAAGCAAUUUCAAGACUGGUCAGUAUCUAGGUGGGUGGCCGCUUAGGAAAUAUCAGGAGCUGUAAG